UGAUGGGAAGUCACCUGGGGAGAGCGUCCCGACCUUAGGAGUCGGGGAGGUCACAGGUUCAAUCCCUGUUCCGCCUACCA
Molecule: transfer RNA, 80 nt
Filed under: Deltaproteobacteria bacterium RBG_13_53_10
Lineage: Bacteria; Deltaproteobacteria
Description: tRNA-OTHER
Source: RNAcentral